AACAAUCCACACGAAACAUUUGACUUUAGUAAGGAGUUGAGAAUAUGGGCAUGCAAACAUAAGUUAUCCAGAUCUGCCAUUGGUGACAUGUUAACACUACUUCGAAGAGCAGGUCAUCAACUUCCAAAGGACCCACGCACAUUUCUGUCAACACCACGGACUGUUACUGUGCAGGAGAAAUGUGGAGGAUAUUACUCCUAUUUUGGCCUAGAGUUUUACAUAGAGAAAAUAAUAUCAAAUAACCCUGCAUACCUCCAAGACCAUAAUUCAAUUGAGUUACAUGUCAAUAUUGAUGGUGUACCUCUCUUCAAGUCAACAAGUGAUCAGUUUUGGCCAAUACUGCUGACUUUCAGUACUUUUCGACCUUUUUUGGUAGCAGUUUUUUUAGGGGAAUCAAAACCAAAUGGUGUAGGUGAUUUCCUUGAAGAUUUUUUAGAAGAAUACUCCAGAUUAAAGGUGUCAGGAAUUAGGGUGAUGGACAAAGUGUUGACUGUGUCAGUCAAAUGCUUUAUUUGUGAUACACCUGCAAGGUCAUUUUUGAAGUGCAUCAAAGGACAUACAGGUUAUCAUUCGUGCGAAAGAUGUGUGGUGAAAGGCUCUUGGAACAAAAGAAUCAUUUUGUACACCCCACAACCAUUGCCAAAAAGAACUGAUGAAGCUUUUAGCCAGGUUGCAUAUGGAGAAACACAUCAGAUUGCAAAAUCACCACUGAUUGAUGCUGAUAUUCUUUGCAUAAAAGGAUUUCCUUUGGACUGCAUGCACUUGGUCUGCCUUGGAGUGGUAAGAAGAAUUCUGUUGUUUUGGAAAAAUGGGCCUAGAUCUUGUAAGUUGUCCAAAUAGCUACUUGAUGUUAUAUCUAAGAAUUUGAAGGAUUUAUCACAAAAGUUGCCUUUUGAGUUUGCAAGGCAGCCACGAUCAUUGGACGAACUGGACAGAUGGAAGGCCACUGAAUUCCGGCAAUUUCUCUUGUAUACUGGUCCUGUUGUUCUGAGGAAUGUACUUCCAAAUAACACCUACAAGCACUUCCUAACACUAACCGUGGCUAUGUCAAUCCUUUUGGACGAAGACAGUACAAAGCGUAAUUAUUUUUUGAGGUAUGCAGAUGAACUUCUAAAUUACUUUGUGAACAGUAGCAGAGAAAUUUAUGGAGAAAGCUUCAUUGUCUACAAUGUACAUCCAUUAAUCCAUUUAGCAGAUGAUGUAGAAAAUCACAGACGCUCAUUGAAUGAUAUAUGCGGGUUUCCAUUCGAAAACCAUUUGCAGAGUAUUAAGAAAUUGGUGAAGAAUUCCCAAAACCCAAUAGCACAGGUGGCAAAAAGGCUAGCUGAGGCUGAUGAAGUAGGUGCCUCUUGUCAUCAUCAAAAUACACACUUCAGGUUCAUCUCAACAAGGAAAAGAGACAACUGUUUCUUACUUGAAAGUGGUGACUUUGCUUUCAUUCAAGAAAAAAGAGAUAAUGGAUGCUAUGUUUGUGACAUAGUAAGACAAGAAGACACUGAGGAUUUUUUCAGCCAUCCUUGCAGAUCGAGUAUGUUCAACAUUGUUUACUUAAAUGAAAACACAAUAAGAAAAAGAAAAUAUUUUCGCAUAGCGCAGUUGAUGCGAAAGGUGGUCUGUCUUCCAUAUCGGAAUGGACAUGUGUUGCUGCCGCUGUUACAUGGUGAUGAACACUAUUGAAACGCAUGGAGAGAAUGAAAUGGGCACGGGCUGUCUGGAUAGAGAAUUCCCGCGAAGAAGAGGGUGUUGUUCCACUAAACUGGAUCAAAGACAAAAAUGUGUUUUGGCCAGCGGUCACCAAUGCUAGUGUUUUACACAAGAGGUGCGCUGAGCCCGAUGUAGAAAAAUUGAGAAAAUUUAAGCUUAUAAAGAUAAAACAUUCAUCUGUCAAUAUGGAAGAGUGUGAAGAGUAUAAUAUAACCACGGCUGUUGAUAAUACUGACAAAGAAAUUCCUAAGAAGCGCCAGGCUAAGCGAAAACACAC
Molecule: long non-coding RNA, 1981 nt
Organism: Paramormyrops kingsleyae
Lineage: Eukaryota; Metazoa; Chordata; Actinopteri; Osteoglossiformes; Mormyridae
Source: RefSeq, a predicted model, not a curated record